AUCUGUUAAUUCAGAAGAAAGCUAAAGAGAUUGGAUCUAGUCCCGAAAUCUUAUGAGCAUGGCUGUUACUCUUUUGAUGAAAGGGGAGCAUUCUGCCAAAGCUGUUAGUGAUUGACAACUAAUAAUCUACUAAUCCUAAUGGGAGAAUUCGCAGAUAGUAUGUCCUUCGACGGUCAUGAAUGGGAAGAUAACAGGAUGUUUGGAUCGUUAAGAGACAUUUUUCUUCAGAGAAUAUGCAAGAUGAAAAAAUUUUGUAAGUUUCUAACGAUGGAAAUCCUAUAAAAAAAUAAAAAGUAGUAAUCCCUUCUA
Long non-coding RNA from Diachasma alloeum, 309 nucleotides. RefSeq lists it as uncharacterized. The record is from RefSeq and is a predicted model, not a curated record. The transcript is spliced from 2 exons. NCBI's taxonomy places the organism in Eukaryota, Metazoa, Arthropoda, Insecta, Hymenoptera, Braconidae.